UAUUAAAAAUUUCAUCUAUUUGCACGGUUAAAAACUGACGUGAUUGAUGGAGUAACUAGACAAUAAUAUAUGGCGUGUCACACAUACGUCAUCUUGAUGUACAAUGACCAAUUUUUAACAACAGAAUUGAUGAAAUUUUUAACA
Molecule: non-coding RNA, 144 nt
Organism: Gossypium hirsutum (cotton)
Lineage: Eukaryota; Viridiplantae; Streptophyta; Magnoliopsida; Malvales; Malvaceae
Source: Rfam